This 1284-nucleotide ribosomal RNA is filed under the name Triticum aestivum (bread wheat). Its description in RNAcentral is "partial small subunit ribosomal RNA". The record is from RNAcentral. Lineage: Eukaryota; Viridiplantae; Streptophyta; Magnoliopsida; Poales; Poaceae.
AUGGGCGAUGAUGAGACAUUCAACAUGAUUGAAUUCAUGAAGACAACCCAACGAGGCUCUAAGCGUUCUGUUAUGCAGUGCAUUUUUUGUGAUAAUGAUCUUUACUAUCAAUUGUUUAGAGCAACUCCUGAGAAGGACGAAGACAGGUAUACUAAGGGGAACUUUUACAGACUUGGUGGUGCUAAAAGGGUAUUCCCGGAGAGCUUAUUUGGAGAGCUUAAAGAUCUUGAAGGAGCCCCUGAGUCCUAUCAUGAUGUUGAGCAGAUUGCGGUGUACGCAAAUGUAUUCAGGAAGAUGGUUGAGAAAGUCAAGAAGCUCAAAAAAGAAACGGCUAAGAAGUUUGAUCCUGAUCGUUUGCCCCUUGUGCAGCUUCCAAUCGUUGCUGUAUGCGAGUCUGAAAGGUUUCCAGCAGUACUAAGGUUCACGACUGGUAACUUUUACAGCUCAACACCGCAGCACGUAACUAGCACGCUUCGGGAACUUGUACAUAACUGGGGGAGGUUGUCCAAGUUGGCUUUCUUGAUGAUUCUGGCUGUCAUUGAGUUUGACGUGGGAUGCUACGAUUGCAGAAAGAGCUUCAACGAAGCUAGAGCUAAUUUGCACAACACCGUGAGGGCGGUAUCUACACUUGAACUUGACUUCAGAGGUCCUGAUGGGCAUUUCAGCCUGAAAAAGCUGCUGGGCGUGGGCGGCUGUGUUCAUGUCCUCAAGUUUGAGUUUGAUGAUGUGAUCCGUAUUAUCAUGAGGGCCAGACAUGAUGCACGAGGUGCAAUCAGAGAGAUUCGAGCAAAACUGGAUAUCUCUACAGCUGGAGCUGAUGUGGAGCUUGCUGGAGCUGAUGCCAAGAAGGUGAUAUCUUCACAUGAGCGAAAAGAAGCUCAGACCAGGGAGCUUGCUGGAGUUCGUGCUGAAGCUGAUGCUGCUGCUAGAGCUGAUGUGAAGAAGACGCAAGCGAAGGUGUCAGUCUUGACCAGGGAGCUUGCUGGAGUUCGUGCUGAAGCUGAUGAUGCUGCUAGAGCUGAUGUGAAGAAGACGCAAGCGAAGGUGUCAGUCUUGACACCUUCAGAUGGAGCUGAUGUGAAUGAGUUGCAAACGAAGGUGCCAGUCCCGACAACAUCGCGAUCUUUGGUUGAGCUUGCUGGAGCUGAUGCCAAGAAGGUGAUAUCUUCGCAUGAGCGAAAAGAAGCUCAGACCAGGGCGGUGCCACCUGAUGAAGUUGAGUGGGCAAGGUGGCAGAAGUGUAGGCGUGCAGGUCUAAAGGUCAUGGACCUACUCAUGGAAUGA